This 254-nucleotide ribosomal RNA is filed under the name uncultured bacterium. RNAcentral describes it as "partial 16S ribosomal RNA". It matches the Rfam family "Bacterial small subunit ribosomal RNA", at positions 524 to 776 of the family's 1533-position model. The record is from RNAcentral.
UACGAAGGGUGCAAGCGUUACUCGGAAUUACUGGGCGUAAAGCGUGCGUAGGUGGUUUGUUAAGUCUGCUGUGAAAUCCCCGGCUCAACCUGGGAAUGGCAGUGGAUACUGGCAAGCUAGAGUGCGGUAGAGGGUAGUGGAAUUCCCGGUGUAGCGGUGAAAUGCGUAGAGAUCGGGAGGAACACCAGUGGCGAAGGCGGCUACCUGGACCAGCACUGACACUCAGGCACGAAAAGCGUGGGGGAGCAAACAGG